This 495-nucleotide ribosomal RNA is filed under the name uncultured bacterium. RNAcentral's name for it is "partial 16S ribosomal RNA". It matches the Rfam family "Bacterial small subunit ribosomal RNA", at positions 28 to 523 of the family's 1533-position model. The record is from RNAcentral.
GAUGAACGCUAGCGGGAGGCCUAACACAUGCAAGCCGAGCGGUAUUGUUUCUUCGGAAAUGAGAGAGCGGCGUACGGGUGCGUAACACGUGUGCAACCUGCCUUUAUCUGGGGGAUAGCCUUUCGAAAGGAAGAUUAAUACUCCAUAAUAUAUUGAACGGCAUCGUUUAAUAUUGAAAGCUCCGGCGGAUAGAGAUGGGCACGCGCAAGAUUAGCUAGUUGGUGAGGUAACGGCUCACCAAGGCGAUGAUCCUUAGGGGGUCUGAGAGGGUGAUCCCCCACACUGGUACUGAGACACGGACCAGACUCCUAUGGGAGGCAGCAGUGAGGAGUAUUGGUCAAUGGGUGCAAGCCUGAACCAGCCAUCCCGCGUGAAGGACGACUGCCCUAUGGGUUGUAAACUUCUUUUGUAUAGGGAUAAACCUACCCUCGUGAGGGUAGCUGAAGGUACUAUACGAAUAAGCACCGGCUAACUCCGUGCCAGCCGCCGCCGUAA